CUGCCAUCCCCACAAUGAACAAUAUGUUAGACAUAGUCUUGAGACAUAAUUAAGUAAAUAAAGGUAUACUUCAAUAUAGUUUCAGAACAUAGGUCCUGAGUUUGAAAAGCUACUGCUACAAUCAUAGAUAUCACAAUCGAAAAGAUUCACAGACUAGUAUAGAACAAAGAGGAGAUUUGGUAAUCAUAAUAGAGGAAGCAUACCUCCCAAACAAUGAAGCAAUCUUGAUUCACUCCUUUUUCACCUCUCCUAGAGAAUAAUGAAGCAAAAUUCUUAGAGCCAACAACAUUUACUGUCCCUGAAGACCUUAAUAUCAAGUCAUUUUUCUUGGCUUCUUUAGCCAUAGCUUCAACAGCUUCUUUACCAUCAUAUUUCCCAUUCCCAGUACAUCCAACAACAUUUACAGUCCCUGAAGACCUUAAUAUCAAGUCAUUUUUCUUGGCUUCUUUAGCCAUAGCUUCAACAGCUUCUCUACCAUCAUAUUUCCCAUUCCCAGUACAAUUCUUUCUUUU
Molecule: long non-coding RNA, 512 nt
Filed under: Nicotiana benthamiana
Lineage: Eukaryota; Viridiplantae; Streptophyta; Magnoliopsida; Solanales; Solanaceae
Description: long non-coding RNA (NBEN_LNC008245)
Source: RNAcentral